AUAAAGAAAUGCAAGUGAGACGAGAGAGCGUGGGAGAAGGGAUCCACGGAUGAUUAGUUUUUCUUUUGGGAAAGAGGGAUGCCAAAAAGGUCGUCGACACGGGAGCAUCAUCCUAGUUUGACCGACUUGGAGACCGAGAGAGGCGAUGAGGAGGAAAGCAAGGAAAUGAAAAGACGCAGAAAUAAUUUCUUUAUCCAAUGACAAGGAAAGGAGCAAAUAACCCCUUAAUUUCUUUGUUGCCUUGUCUCCUUUUGUUCCACUUGGGUUUCUUUGCGUCUCCGCCACUCUCUCUCUCUCUCUCUCUCUCUCUCUGUCUCGCGCCCGCGCCCCCCCCACCCUCGAACCCUCUGUAUCUUGCUAAACCUCUGCUUGAAUCCAUAAUCAAUUCUUCACAAGGUUGUUCGAGAUAGGUGCCCUUGAAAUAUACCAUUUUUCUCUUCUUUGGGUUUCUCUUUCUUUGAAGAAUUUAAUUGUUUUUGUUAAUCUUAGUUUGAUGAGGGUUUUAUCUACGGAUUCUUGAUUUUGGAGGUUCCGCCAAACCUGGGCUGCUCUCAAAAUCUGAUUUUUCUUCUGUACCGUCCGCGUUUCCGCAAUGGCCUUCUUCAUCAAGGUCUCUCUUCCCGUUGCCAAACACCCUUGGAGUGAAGGUUCGCGAAGCUGAGGCGGAAGAGGAGCAACGAUCCUGAAAAGGCGACAAGGCAACAAAGAAAUUAAGGGGUUAUUUGCUGCAAGGAUUCUUGGUAUCAGAGCCCAUAUGUGAUGAAGAUAUGCUAUUCUUGAGCCAAGAUCUAUGAUCUUGAUGUUAUUCUGAUCCUCUAGUUAUUCUAGAGAAGACCUACUAUAAACCUGUUAUCAUUAUUAUUGAUAGUGGAAGUUUGAGGUGGACUGCGGUCCCGUGGUUUUUCCCA
Long non-coding RNA from Musa acuminata AAA Group (dessert banana), 908 nucleotides. RefSeq lists it as uncharacterized. The record is from RefSeq and is a predicted model, not a curated record. The transcript has 2 exons. NCBI's taxonomy places the organism in Eukaryota, Viridiplantae, Streptophyta, Magnoliopsida, Zingiberales, Musaceae.